RNAcentral lists this ribosomal RNA (80 nucleotides) under Sphingobacterium paucimobilis HER1398. RNAcentral's name for it is "partial 16S ribosomal RNA". It matches the Rfam family "Bacterial small subunit ribosomal RNA", at positions 1 to 76 of the family's 1533-position model. The record is from RNAcentral. Lineage: Bacteria; Pseudomonadati; Bacteroidota; Sphingobacteriia; Sphingobacteriales; Sphingobacteriaceae.
UUUUACUAUGGAGAGUUUGAUCCUGGCUCAGGAUGAACGCUAGCGGCAGGCCUAAUACAUGCAAGUCGAACGGGAUCCAU